GAGGGUGUUGGAAUAAUCUUAGCUCCUUGUAUUUAGGUCAAUACAUACAUAUCUAAUUUAAUAUACAUACAGUAUUAUGGUGUGUGCCAAUACUUAAACCAUGUAAGGACAAGGCCCUAUUAUCUCUUACGAGUUUUCUUCAAUGCAUCCAGUACCUUCAGAUUCAUCACUUAGCAGACGAAUUAUUUUUUUUUAAUUUGAACUUCUUUUGCCAUUCAAAUGGAUAAUUAACAGAGCCUUCAGCGCAUUGAAACUUAAUUGAGAGGGUGCAGACUUGCCAGACCCAUGACAUCCAAUAAACACUGUCACGCAAGUUGCUGCGGCAAGGUAGAAAUUGGGAUUGACCUUCUUCACGAAGAGCAUCGACCCGCAAAUCAGAUCCCUGGUCAGUGCAGUCUUAAAAUGCACCCUAAAACCCGCAAAACCCAUGCCGAACAAAAAAAGUCAGGGUCCUAGAAGAGACAGUAGAACGAAAAAAGGGGAAAAGAACUGUAACAUUCCAAAAAGAAUAUUUAUAUAUAUAAAUAUGCAUUGGAAAAUCGAAACAGAAAGUAUCGAAUUGCAAGCAGAAGAGAGAUUGAGUGGAAGUGAAGCAAAAGAAAAACCACUUCUCAUGUGGGACAGGCCACCUUCUCCGCCAUGUCUUCCCCGCAGCACUGAUGCUUGCCCCCCCCCCCCCUCCACCUCCGACAAUAUGGAUCUGGCGGUGCCUCACUCCGUCUUCACAAUCUUCCAUUUCACAG
This 743-nucleotide long non-coding RNA is filed under the name Physcomitrium patens. RNAcentral describes it as "long non-coding RNA (PPAT_LNC006665)". The record is from RNAcentral. Lineage: Eukaryota; Viridiplantae; Streptophyta; Bryopsida; Funariales; Funariaceae.